UUGAAGGAGGAAUGUCAGAGGUUGUAAAGAUGGGAGGUGUUGGGAGAGGAGUAGAAGAAGCCAUUAUAGGUACAGAAGUAGCGGGAGGAAAAGACUUACCAGAAGAGGAAAUUUGCAGAGGAGCUGGAGAUUUGGUUCCAGAGGUUUCUCCAAGUCUGGCUUUCUUUGCCUUUCUUGCUUCAUCAGCUAUCUUCCUCUCAGAAAGAC
RNAcentral lists this long non-coding RNA (207 nucleotides) under Lathyrus oleraceus (garden pea). Its description in RNAcentral is "Pisum sativum (pea) long non-coding RNA (PSAT_LNC004727)". The record is from RNAcentral. Lineage: Eukaryota; Viridiplantae; Streptophyta; Magnoliopsida; Fabales; Fabaceae.